AGUGAACGCUGGCGGUAGGCCUAACACAUGCCAGUCGAACGGCAGCACAGUAAGAGCUUGCUCUUACGGGUUGCGAGUGGCGGACGGGUGAGGAAUACAUCGGAAUCUACUUUUUCGUGGGGGAUAACGUAGGGAAACUUACGCUAAUACCGCGUACGACCUACGGGGGAAAGCAUGGGAUCUUCGGACCUUGCGCGAUUGAAUGAGCCGAUGUCGGAUUAGCUAGUUGGCGGGGUAAAGGCCCACCAAGGCGACGAGCCGUAGCUGGUCUGAGGGGAUGUUCAGCCACACUGGAACUGCGACACGGUCCAGACUCCUACGGGAGGCAGCCGUGGGGAAUAUUGGACAAUGGGCGCAAGCCUGAUCCAGCCAUACCGCGUGAGUGAAGAAGGCCUUCCGGUUGUACAGCCCUUUUGUUGGGAAAGAAAAGCAGCAGGUUAAUACCCCGCUGUUCUGACGGUACCCAAAGAAUAAGCACCGGCUAACUUCGUG
Molecule: ribosomal RNA, 492 nt
Filed under: uncultured bacterium
Lineage: Bacteria
Description: partial 16S ribosomal RNA
Rfam family: Bacterial small subunit ribosomal RNA
Source: RNAcentral